Molecule: non-coding RNA, 202 nt
Filed under: Actinobacteria bacterium OK074
Lineage: Bacteria; Bacillati; Actinomycetota; Actinomycetes
Description: Streptomyces sRNA 4677
Rfam family: Streptomyces sRNA 4677
About the family: Located in the intergenic region between anti-sigma factor SCO4677 gene and a putative regulatory protein gene SCO4676. scr4677 expression requires the SCO4677 activity and scr4677 sRNA itself seem to affect the levels of the SCO4676-associated transcripts.
Source: Rfam by way of RNAcentral
AGCGUCGAGCCCCGAGCCUUCUUGAUUUGGAAUGGGAGCGGUAGCUCAACCCACCCUCCCACCCUGCGAGUUGACCUGUAGCGUUCGGCUUGCGACGCACAGUCACAUGCGUCUAACGUUCGCUCAGACAAAAACUUCGGCCCCCGCCGGUGCGCCAACACCAUGCGGGGGCCUGACCGACGAGAUCGACAGGAACGAUCCG